Triticum aestivum (bread wheat) is the source of this 3329-nucleotide RNA transcript. RefSeq lists it as uncharacterized. Lineage: Eukaryota; Viridiplantae; Streptophyta; Magnoliopsida; Poales; Poaceae. The record is from RefSeq and is a predicted model, not a curated record. The transcript is spliced from 8 exons.
GGAUGUUGGUGGAACCUCGUACUUGCUCAGAGUGAGAUAGGUCGACUGCACAGUCCCCACCUGGUGGGUGAGAUCCGGGCGUCGAUGGGGGCGAGCUCGGGGCCUCGCCGGAGUUCGGGCCAGGAGCCAGAUGGCACGGGCGACGGAGCGGACCGCCUCAGCGACCUCCCGGACGACGUGCUCCUCCUCGUCCUCGCCCGCCUCCCUUGCGCCGCCGCCGCCGCCCGCACCGGAGUCCUCUCCCGCCGGUGGCGCGGCCUCUGGGCCCGCCUCCGCCAGAUCGUCCUCCGCGACGUGCCCUUCCCCUCGAUCGAGGCUCCCUCCUCCCCCGCCCGCGGUUUCCCUCCUCAAGAUCCGCGUCCCCCAGAGGCAGCGGCGCAGCAGGGGCUUUCCCAGCCCCAAGAAGCAGCGGGUAGACAGCGCCGGCGUCAACUCGCUGCUCCGCGCCGCCGCGCGGCUCGAGCCGGAGAGUCUCGAAUUCCGCCUCCCCGCGGACUUAAUCGGCCGUUCCCGCCUCGCCGUCGACCUGCCUCGCCUGGACGGCGCCACCUCCAUCGCGCUGGACUUCGCCUCCCCCUUCUCCCUCCGCGUGCCGGCCGGCGCCGAGUUCCCCGCACUCGAGGCGCUGUCCCUGACGUACAGCGUCACCGACCUCGACGCCUUGCUCUCCUGCUGCCCGCGCCUGCGCACGCUCCGCCUCUGCAGGGCUUUGUUUCCCAACCAUAAGUGCGACGUCAGGGUCAGCUCCCCGUCGCUGCAGGAGCUUGUUGUGUGCCGCGAGCUCAGCUUGACACAGCGUGUCGACAUCGUCGCGCCGGCGCUUAAGCAAUUGACCAUGUCAUUUAGCACGAUGGAGCUGAUCAGCAGCUCUGUCUUGGCACCAUUGGUGGAAAAGGUUUCGUGGCACUGCUACUACUUGGGGCCGUAUGUUGCGUUUGGUCUUUGGGGCAUCAGCAAGCUGCGGCUACAGACGGCAGACAGACAAGAACAGAUGUCCUCGCUGCAAAGUCAUGCCUGGGCGGACACGUCUCUUUUUUACGCCGAUGCGGGCAACUUCGCGCAGGAGAUAAAGAAACAUAUGGUUGCCGCCUUCUCUGUUUUAGAGCUGCAUCUCACAGCAAAGGGCAUGCUUUUGGAGCGUUUGUGUUUCAUCUCCUUGGGAUGGAUCGGAUUCGUACUGCUACGCGGAGGCUUAAGGUCGUCCUAGAGAGAUCAGCGAUGAAAGGAGGAUGCCUGCCACUUUGUCCUUGUGGGUUUCCGAACUGGAAGUCCCAAAUUAUCUGCUUGGCUGCUCUCGAAGAAGUGGAGUUCAAUGGCUUCGAAGGAAAGGAUCAUGAGUUUGAUUUAGUGAAAUUGAUAAUCGGAUGUGCACCGAUGUUAAAAAGAAUGAUUGUGAAGCUGUCACAAGAGACCUCGGCAAGUAAUGAUGGAUGCGCAAAGAUACACAACAUCUUCAAGUAAUGUUGUGUGCCGCGAGCUCAGCUUGACACAGCGUGUCGACAUCGUCGCGCCGGCGCUUAAGCAAUUGACCAUGUCAUUUAGCACGAUGGAGCUGAUCAGCAGCUCUGUCUUGGCACCAUUGGUGGAAAAGGUUUCGUGGCACUGCUACUACUUGGGGCCGUAUGUUGCGUUUGGUCUUUGGGGCAUCAGCAAGCUGCGGCUACAGACGGCAGACAGACAAGAACAGAUGUCCUCGCUGCAAAGUCAUGCCUGGGCGGACACGUCUCUUUUUUACGCCGAUGCGGGCAACUUCGCGCAGGAGAUAAAGAAACAUAUGGUUGCCGCCUUCUCUGUUUUAGAGCUGCAUCUCACAGCAAAGGGCAUGCUUUUGGAGCGUUUGUGUUUCAUCUCCUUGGGAUGGAUCGGAUUCGUACUGCUACGCGGAGGCUUAAGGUCGUCCUAGAGAGAUCAGCGAUGAAAGGAGGAUGCCUGCCACUUUGUCCUUGUGGGUUUCCGAACUGGAAGUCCCAAAUUAUCUGCUUGGCUGCUCUCGAAGAAGUGGAGUUCAAUGGCUUCGAAGGAAAGGAUCAUGAGUUUGAUUUAGUGAAAUUGAUAAUCGGAUGUGCACCGAUGUUAAAAAGAAUGAUUGUGAAGCUGUCACAAGAGACCUCGGCAAGUAAUGAUGGAUGCGCAAAGAUACACAACAUCUUCAAGUAAUGUUGUGUGCCGCGAGCUCAGCUUGACACAGCGUGUCGACAUCGUCGCGCCGGCGCUUAAGCAAUUGACCAUGUCAUUUAGCACGAUGGAGCUGAUCAGCAGCUCUGUCUUGGCACCAUUGGUGGAAAAGGUUUCGUGGCACUGCUACUACUUGGGGCCGUAUGUUGCGUUUGGUCUUUGGGGCAUCAGCAAGCUGCGGCUACAGACGGCAGACAGACAAGAACAGAUGUCCUCGCUGCAAAGUCAUGCCUGGGCGGACACGUCUCUUUUUACGCCGAUGCGGGCAACUUCGCGCAGGAGAUAAAGAAACAUAUGGUUGCCGCCUUCUCUGUUUUAGAGCUGCAUCUCACAGCAAAGGGCAUGCUUUUGGAGCGUUUGUGUUUCAUCUCCUUGGGAUGGAUCGGAUUCGUACUGCUACGCGGAGGCUUAAGGUCGUCCUAGAGAGAUCAGCGAUGAAAGGAGGAUGCCUGCCACUUUGUCCUUGUGGGUUUCCGAACUGGAAGUCCCAAAUUAUCUGCUUGGCUGCUCUCGAAGAAGUGGAGUUCAAUGGCUUCGAAGGAAAGGAUCAUGAGUUUGAUUUAGUGAAAUUGAUAAUCGGAUGUGCACCGAUGUUAAAAAGAAUGAUUGUGAAGCUGUCACAAGAGACCUCGGCAAGUAAUGAUGGAUGCGCAAAGAUACACAACAUCUUCAAGGCAUGUUCUUCUGUGGAAUGUGAUGUUUAUGACAGCUCUGGGUUAAUGCUUGGUUGCUUCAGCUGAUCAUCUGGCGUGCUCUUUUGCCAUAUACAUGGUGCUCAGAUAAAUCUUGAAGUUAAUGCACUCUACCUGUAACGUCAGUCAAGCUGAUUAUCAUGUUAAGCCUAUGGUUUCAAUUCCUAGUUUGCGUUGUUUCAUUGCAAUGACGCACUGCAUGUUUUCAGCGGGAGUAAGAUGAUCUGCAGUGAAUGUGCUUCCCAUUACAGCUCUUUCUGCUUAUAGAUGAAUGUGCUUCCCAUUACAGCUCUUUCUGCCUAUAGGUGUGAUAGAUGAACCAAACGGCUCUGUGGGAUAUAUAGCUCAGCAUCUUAAACUGAGAAUUAUCCCCUCUUUUCCAACUACUGCACCUUGUAUGAUGGACUGAAGAUGCAUCUUUGUGUCACUUCUGUUUUAGCAGAAUAUGUGUCAUCUUGUGUA